RNAcentral lists this ribosomal RNA (432 nucleotides) under uncultured Ancylobacter sp. RNAcentral's name for it is "bacterial SSU rRNA". It matches the Rfam family "Bacterial small subunit ribosomal RNA", at positions 950 to 1382 of the family's 1533-position model. The record is from RNAcentral. Lineage: Bacteria; Pseudomonadati; Pseudomonadota; Alphaproteobacteria; Hyphomicrobiales; Xanthobacteraceae.
UUCGAAGCAACGCGCAGAACCUUACCAGCCUUUGACAUGUCCCGGACGGUUACCAGAGAUGGUUUCUUCUCUUCGGAGCCGGGAACACAGGUGCUGCAUGGCUGUCGUCAGCUCGUGUCGUGAGAUGUUGGGUUAAGUCCCGCAACGAGCGCAACCCUCGCCCUUAGUUGCCAUCAUUAAGUUGGGCACUCUAGGGGGACUGCCGGUGAUAAGCCGCGAGGAAGUGGGGAUGACGUCAAGUCCUCAUGGCCCUUACGGGCUGGGCUACACACGUGCUACAAUGGCGGUGACAGUGGGAAGCGAACCCGCGAGGGUAAGCAAAUCUCCAAAAGCCGUCUCAGUUCGGAUUGCACUCUGCAACUCGAGUGCAUGAAGUUGGAAUCGCUAGUAAUCGUGGAUCAGCAUGCCACGGUGAAUACGUUCCCGGGCCUU